GCAGUCGAACGGACUCAUAUUGAAACCUAGUGAUUUAUGAGUUAGUGGCGGACGCGUUGAGUAACGCGUGGAUAACCUGCCGUAUACCGGGGGAUAACACUUAGAAAUAGGUGCUAAUACCGCAUAAGCGCACGGCUCCGCAUGGGGCAGUGUGAAAAACUCCGGUGGUAUACGAUGGAUCCGCGUCUGAUUAGCUAGUUGGCGGGGUAACGGCCCACCAAGGCAGCGAUCAGUAGCCGGCCUGAGAGGGUGGACGGCCACAUUGGGACUGAGACACGGCCCAAACUCCUACGGGAGGCAGCAGUGGGGAAUAUUGCACAAUGGGGGAAACCCUGAUGCAGCGACGCCGCGUGAGUGAAGAAGUAUCUCGGUACGUAAAGCUCUAUCAGCAGGGAAGAAAAUGACGGUACCUGACUAAGAAGCCCCGGCUAACUACGUGCCAGCAGCCGCGGUAAUACGUAGGGGGCAAGCGUUAUCCGGAUUUACUGGGUGUAAAGGGAGCGUAGACGGCAGCACAAGUCUGGAGUGAAAUCCCGGGGCUUAACCCCGGAACUGCUUUGGAAACUGUGCGGCUGGAGUGCAGGAGGGGUAAGCGGAAUUCCUAGUGUAGCGGUGAAAUGCGUAGAUAUUAGGAGGAACACCGGUGGCGAAGGCGGCCUACUGGACUGUAACUGACGUUGAGGCUCGAAAGCGUGGGGAGCAAACAGGAUUAGAUACCCUGGUAGUCCACGCCGUAAACGAUGAUUACUAGGUGUCGGGGGACCAAGGUCCUCCGG
This 776-nucleotide ribosomal RNA is filed under the name uncultured bacterium. RNAcentral's name for it is "bacterial SSU rRNA". It matches the Rfam family "Bacterial small subunit ribosomal RNA", at positions 57 to 843 of the family's 1533-position model. The record is from RNAcentral.